UUGCCUACGGGGGGCAGCAGUGGGGAAUCUUCCGCAAUGGGCGCAAGCCUAACGGAGCAAUGCCGCGUGAACGAAGAAGGUCUUCGGAUUGUAAAGUUCUGUCCUUAUCGAAGAGAGGGUAUAGAGUGAAAAAUGAUAUACUAGGACGGUAGAUGAGGAGGAGGCCCCGGCUAACUACGUGCCAGCAGCCGCGGCAAUACGUAGGGGGCGGGCGUUGUCCGGAAUCACUGGGCGUAAAGGGCGCGUGGGCGGUAAUAUAAGUCAGAUGUGAAAGGGGGGGGCUCAACCCCUAGAGGGCAACUGAU
Molecule: ribosomal RNA, 305 nt
Filed under: uncultured bacterium
Lineage: Bacteria
Description: partial 16S ribosomal RNA
Rfam family: Bacterial small subunit ribosomal RNA
Source: RNAcentral